CCUACGGGAGGCAGCAGUGGGGAAUCUUGCGCAAUGGGCGAAAGCCUGACGCAGCCAUGCCGCGUGAAUGAUGAAGGUCUUAGGAUUAGUAAAAUUCUUUCACCGGGGACGAUAAUGACGGUACCCGGAGAAGAAGCCCCGGCUAACUUCGUGCCAGCAGCCGCGGUAAUACGAAGGGGGCUAGCGUUGCUCGGAAUUACUGGGCGUAAAGGGCGCGUAGGCGGACAUUUAAGUCAGGGGUGAAAUCCCAGAGCUCAACUCUGGAACUGCCUUUGAUACUGGGUGUCUUGAGUGUGAGAGAGGUAUGUGGAACUCCGAGUGUAGAGGUGAAAUUCGUAGAUAUUCGGAAGAACACCAGUGGCGAAGGCGACAUACUGGCUCAUUACUGACGCUGAGGCGCGAAAGCGUGGGGAGCAAACAGGAUUAGAUACCCUGGUAGUCCACGCCGUAAACGAUGAUUGCUAGUUGUCGGGCUGCAUGCNGUCGUGCGCAGACUACGACAUAAGACACGUCCGCCGUCGGGAGGUACGGUCGACGAAGAAGUUAAACGUAACGAAAGGAAGUUAGUACGGCGUGACGACGUCGACCGACGGACGACGACGAGGGAGAGG
RNAcentral lists this ribosomal RNA (611 nucleotides) under uncultured bacterium. RNAcentral's name for it is "bacterial SSU rRNA". The stretch from base 1 to 517 matches the Rfam family "Bacterial small subunit ribosomal RNA", at positions 338 to 873 of the family's 1533-position model. The record is from RNAcentral.